UGAACGGCUAAAUGAGGAUCACACUGUCUCUUGUAAUCGACCUAUGAAACUGAUCUUGUAGUCCAAAAGCUACAAUAAAAACACCAGACGAGAAGACCCUGUGGAGCUUUAAACCAAAACCAAAUUAAUGACCACUUGGUUUUUAGUUGGGGCAACUUCGGAGAAUAAAUCAACCUCCGAUAAAAUUUAAGCUAAGACAAACAAGUCCAGGCAACUUACUUGACCCAAUAGACUAGCGCAGACUAUUUGACCAAUGAACCAAGUUACCCCAGGGAUAACAGCGCUAUCCCCUUUCAGAGUCCCUAUCGACAAGGGGGCUUACGACCUCGAUGUUGGAUCAGGACACCCUAAUAAUGCA
This 358-nucleotide ribosomal RNA is filed under the name Mesalina balfouri. RNAcentral's name for it is "partial 16S ribosomal RNA". It matches the Rfam family "Archaeal large subunit ribosomal RNA", at positions 2070 to 2626 of the family's 2987-position model. The record is from RNAcentral. Lineage: Eukaryota; Metazoa; Chordata; Lepidosauria; Squamata; Lacertidae.